This 639-nucleotide ribosomal RNA is filed under the name Pedobacter cryoconitis. RNAcentral describes it as "partial 16S ribosomal RNA". Lineage: Bacteria; Pseudomonadati; Bacteroidota; Sphingobacteriia; Sphingobacteriales; Sphingobacteriaceae. The record is from RNAcentral.
CGGGCAGCCCCUCUCUCAAUCACCUUAGGGCGUGGACUACCCACGGGUAUCUAAUCCUGUUUCGAUCCCCACGCUUUCGUGCCUCAGCGUCAAUUUAACCAUAGUAAGCUGCCUUCGCAAUCGGUGUUCUGUGACAUAUCUAUGCAUUUCACCGCUACUUGUCACAUUCCGCCUACCUCUAGUUCAUUCAAGCUCUUCAGUAUCAAGGGCACUGCGAUGGUUGAGCCACCGUCUUUCACCCCUGACUUAAAAAGCCGCCUACGCACCCUUUAAACCCAAUAAAUCCGGAUAACGCUUGGAUCCUCCGUAUUACCGCGGCUGCUGGCACGGAGUUAGCCGAUCCUUAUUCCUUCGGUACAUUCAGCUAUCUACACGUAGAUAGGUUUAUUCCCGAAUAAAAGCAGUUUACGACCCAGAGGGCUGUCUUCCUGCACGCGGCAUGGCUGGUUCAGAGUUGCCUCCCAUUGACCAAUAUUCCUUACUGCUGCCUCCCGUAGGAGUCUGGUCCGUGUCUCAGUACCAGUGUGGGGGGUCAUCCUCUCAGAUCCCCUAGACAUCGUGGUCUUGGUGGGCCGCUACCCCGCCAACUAACUAAUGUCACGCAUGCCCAUCUUAAUCCUAUAAAUAUUUGAUCAUUGU